GAUGUUGCAACUGUGACAAACAAUUUUCACCCAUCAUAUAUGAUCGGACAAGGUGGUUUUGGCAACGUCCAAUGUCGCCGCUGUGGAGUUCACUGGAAGAAGAACAUCGGUCGAGCAUUCCAAUGUCGCCUCCGCCGAGUUCGCCACCGAGCCAUCCAAUGUCGCCUCUGCUGAGUUCACUGGAGGAAGAACAUCCGCCGUCCGAACGUGCUACACCAGAGGUAUGUAUCAGCUUUUCCCAAAUUAGUCCAACGUUGUGGUAUGUAUCAGCUUUUCCCAAAUUAGGCCAACGUUGUUGGAUAUUGCUUCAAUCAAAAACAAUCUGUGAAACCUGGGCAUGUACUAAUGUUUCCUGCACUUUUUCUCUUUAAUCUGAGCAUCCAAUCUAUGUAAGUCGGUUGUUGCCUGUGCAUUAUAUUACUCCAUUGUUUGCCAGUCCAUGUUUGCUCUCUGUUUGAUUCGAAUCCAUGACCAAAUAAGUUCAUGAACAGUUUUCUGCUUGAUCCCUGUUUGACUAAAGUCUUAAAGAUUCAUAUUUAGUUACAUUGGUUCAGUGAUUCAGAAUAAUAUUUGAGAAGCUUCUCUGUUGGUUGGCAUCCCUGAUGGCAGUUGUAGAAAUGUAGCUAAUAAGGAAAGAGUGCCUCAUAAUUCAUUGGAUGCAGAUCAAUAGGGUGUAAAAGACUUUGAGUUUCUAACUUUCCUAAAAUUUACACGUGUACUCCCUCCGUCCCAUAAUGUAAGACCAUUUUGCAAGCUUAACAGUAUGUUGUGGUUGGUCCAUAAACUUGAACAAUAAGUGUGUCAAUUGAGGUUCAGGCCAUAUUUAAUUAGCAACUAAUUAUCAUGUGGUGCUUCGGCCCUAAUAUAUCCACAGUCUGACCAUUGGAUUGAAUAUCCAUCAGAAGAUUGUAGCCUUUCCUGACUCCAUGCCCUUUUCAAGUGGAGUUGCAGAAAUGCAGAGUAUGAAUGGGGAAAUGAUCGUAGAUGUGAACACCUGCAGUAUGAUUUAUCUUGAUAGAGAUGCACUGGAUUCUCAAGUAGUUUUAAAAAAAUUUCUAGAUAGCUCAACUAAUUAAGCUUCUGCAAUUCAUGAAAAACAAAAAGGUGUCAUGUCAGCUGCUCAAGCUAAUCAAGUAAGAAAAAUAAAAGGGACCAGAUGUCAGGUUCCAUUAACCAAAUGUUUCACAUCUGUUAACCUGUAUCUUGAUUGAGAUGCACUGGGUUCACAAGUAGUUUUAGUGUUUUUUCUAGAUAGCUAACAAAAGGAAGGUGUUCUAUCAGCUGAUCAAGCUAAUUAAGUAAAAAGAAUUAAAGGGACCAGUAGUCAGGUUCCAUUAACUAAAUGUGUCACAUCUAUUAACCUGUACUCAUAGUAGCCCACAUUGUUCAAUAUUGCUUGGAGAUUUGCCCUUUUUUUACAAAUCAAAAUCAGUCUUUGUAACCUGGCGUUUACUAAAGUUGUAUGCACUUUUUUCUGUUUAAUCUGGGUGUCCAAUCUCUGUAAGUUGGGGCAUUGCUUGUAUUUUAUAUUAGGCGUUACCUAUAAUUUAUAUUAGUACAAUGUUUGUCAGUCUGUGUUUAAUUCUCUGUUUGCUCCCUAUGGACAAAUAAGUUAUUUUUCUCCCAGUUUGAUUCAAGUCUGAAAUAUGCAUAGAUGCUACACUUAAGUCAGUAAAUGAACAAAAAAGUAGGAAUGAUCUUUUAGUCAGUUUUGUGUCACCGAGUAAAUCUGUGCUCGAGAUUACAAUUACUUUGAUCAGAGAAAUUAAGAAAAAUAUCUGGAAUCAUCAUCACCCCUUAACCGAUCCGGCGGCAGGAUGUAGAAAUCCAAUCUACUUGGUGGAGACAUAUUGGCAUGUGAUACCGUCCAACUAAUAGUUGUUAUAUGCUUUCCAUUGUGUUUGAAUUUUUUUUCUCUUGCAUUGCCUGGACUACCUGAUAGAAGCUCAUGUCAGCUAAUAUUAUUACGUCUGGAGCGGCAGGCAUGUCCAUAUUCGGUGCUGCCAGCGACAAGCAAUACAGGAUAGGUUUUGUAAGUGCUAACAUGGUAAAUUAAUAGGGAUUAUCUAAUCUUUUUGUAUUAAGGAGUUCUAUACGUUUGCAUCAUGCAAAGAUUAUUGUACUAUUAAUUAGUCUAUACUGGAGAAGUCAAAGAGUAUCAUACUCACGGUCAGCUACGUAGUUGGAAUAUUUGUAACCACACACUAACCUGAAAGUUAGGCACACUAAUUAAGUUUGAUUUUUUUAACAGAAGGAUUUUAUUAAUAUGGCAUUAAGCACACUUUACAAAUAGCAGCUCGAGUGGCUGAGCACUCAUUGCUGAUAUCUCAUUACAGGUAGGACAUCGUUCCAGAUUAGUAUCUAAACCUUGAUUUGAAUGUAGGCAAGUAGAGCUGCCAGGUUUAUCUUGCACUUUGACAGCGAGUCUAGCCUGAUGGUGUGCCUUGAAAUUCAGACUCCUUUGCACUUUGAUUAUUCUGCAUGGAUGAAAUGAAGG
RNAcentral lists this long non-coding RNA (2497 nucleotides) under Triticum aestivum (bread wheat). RNAcentral describes it as "long non-coding RNA (TAES_LNC026055)". Lineage: Eukaryota; Viridiplantae; Streptophyta; Magnoliopsida; Poales; Poaceae. The record is from RNAcentral.